UACGGAGGGGGCUAGCGUUGUUCGGAAUUACUGGGCGUAAAGCGCACGUAGGCGGACCAGCAAGUUAGGGGUGAAAUCCCGGGGCUCAACCCCGGAACUGCCUUUAAAACUGUUGGUCUGGAGGUCGAGAGAGGUGAGUGGAAUUCCGAGUGUAGAGGUGAAAUUCGUAGAUAUUCGGAGGAACACCGGUGGCGAAGGCGGCUCACUGGCUCGAUACUGACGCUGAGGUGCGAAAGCGUGGGGAGCAAACAGG
RNAcentral lists this ribosomal RNA (253 nucleotides) under uncultured bacterium. RNAcentral's name for it is "partial 16S ribosomal RNA". It matches the Rfam family "Bacterial small subunit ribosomal RNA", at positions 524 to 776 of the family's 1533-position model. The record is from RNAcentral.